CCAAUAGCGUAUAUUAAGGUUGUUGCAGUUAAAAAGCUCGUAGUUGAAUUUCGGGAUUAGUACGUCGGUCGUGCCUUAGGUACGUACUGGUGUUACUGGUUCCUACCUUCUGACGAACCAUCAUGUCAUUAAUUUGGUGUGGUGGGGAAUCAGGACUGUUACUUUGAAAAAAUUAGAGUGUUUAAAGCAGGCUCGCGCUUGAAUACAUUAGCAUGGAAUAAUGAAAUAGGACGUUGAUCCUAUUUUGUUGGUUUCUAGGAUUGACGUAAUGAUUAAUAGGGAUAGUUGGGGGCAUUAGUAUUCAAUUGUCAGAGGUGAAAUUCUUGGAUUUAUUGAAGACUAACUACUGCGAAAGCAUUUGCCAAGGAUGUUUUCAUUAAUCAAGAACGAAAGUUAGGGGAUCGAAGACGAUCAGAUACCGUCGUAGUCUUAACCAUAAACUAUGCCGACUAGGGAUCGGAUGAUGUUAUUUUUAAUGACUCAUUCGGCGCCUUAC
RNAcentral lists this ribosomal RNA (496 nucleotides) under uncultured Glomeromycotina. RNAcentral describes it as "partial small subunit ribosomal RNA". It matches the Rfam family "Eukaryotic small subunit ribosomal RNA", at positions 591 to 1091 of the family's 1831-position model. The record is from RNAcentral. Lineage: Eukaryota; Fungi; Glomeromycota.